Molecule: long non-coding RNA, 1043 nt
Organism: Prunus dulcis (almond)
Lineage: Eukaryota; Viridiplantae; Streptophyta; Magnoliopsida; Rosales; Rosaceae
Exons: 3
Source: RefSeq, a predicted model, not a curated record
AUCAAACGGAAGCGGAUUUCACGUGCAAUAGCGGUAGCAAUAGAAGACCCUCCAAUUAAUUGGAUGCUUCUGGGCUGACUUGGAACCAAAAGAGACAAACUCUCUUAUUGUCCUUUGUGUGCUGUAACUUUCCCAAGGUCAAUAACUCAAGAAAUCCUCUUGCCUUUCACGUGACUGUGCUGCCAGCUUGAAGGCUUUGGAGUUUGGUGGAGGAAACCACCUGUCAUUUUGCUUCAGAAACCCAAGAGAGAACUUGUGGUACAUGCCUUGCCAGCUCCCCUUUUUUUUUUGUUUGCUGUUGAUGUACCAUUGUCCAUGUCCUUUUCUUUUUCCCAGUCAUAAUAAACCAAAGAAAUAUUCAAGAGAGGGAGGAGGGGCUGUGCGAUACAGCCCCCUUUUUUUUUAUUUCAUUACUUUUUUAUCCCCCUUGUUUUGUCUUUUACUAACAAAACCCAACACACAGAACCACUUUUUCUUUUGCUCCUAUUCUUCCUCUGUUGGCUUUUUUUCGUUGGCUUGCAGGCAGCAAACACUCAUGAGGAGGCAAUUCAAUUUCCAUGCGCCCCUUUUGGUUUCGGAUGCUUCAUGCAGAAAUUUUACACAGGGACUUGUAAUUACAAGCCUUUGCUCUUUUGAUUUUGAUCCCAUGGUGGGUUCAUCUCUACAUCCAUGAUUUGAGAGAUUCUUUGCUCCUGGAAGAGCUUAUUUGGUGGUGCAUGAUGGAAUAGACUAUGCCAUAAAACAUGAUGAUUGAAAUCAUCAUGGAAGGCAAACCUGAAAACACUGCUGGAGUUCUUUGAGCGGAGCCAAGCCUCGGAGAGAUUCUUAACCUUGGUUAUGAUGAUUUCAAUCAUCAUAGCCAAGAAUUUCUGUGGAUUGAUCAAACAAACUGCUGGGUGCGGAUCGUAUCCUCGGAAUUACUUGAGCGGAGCUGUCCCUUAGAGAGAUUACUGACCCUUUUUAUGAUGAUAGAAAUCAUCAUGGCCAGGAACCCUUGAGUUGAAUGGAACCAGAAAUCUUGAGCAAAAGAAAAAUCAGAAAAU